GACGAGGGGUGCAAACGUUAUUCGGAAUGAUUGGGCGUAAAGGGUGCGCAGGCGGUAUAUUAAGUCAACUGUUAAAUUCCUCAGCUUAACUGAGGCGCAGCGGUAGAUACUGGUAUGCUUGAGAGUGGAAGAGAGAAGUGGAAUUCUCGGAGUAGCGGUAAAAUGCGUAGAUCUCGAGAGGAACACCGAUGGCGAAGGCAGCUUCUUGGUCCAUUUCUGACGCUCAUGCACGAAAGCGCGGGGAGCAAACAGG
Molecule: ribosomal RNA, 253 nt
Filed under: uncultured bacterium
Lineage: Bacteria
Description: partial 16S ribosomal RNA
Rfam family: Bacterial small subunit ribosomal RNA
Source: RNAcentral